Molecule: long non-coding RNA, 1299 nt
Filed under: Apteryx haastii (Great spotted kiwi)
Lineage: Eukaryota; Metazoa; Chordata; Aves; Apterygiformes; Apterygidae
Description: lncRNA (ENSAHAG00000016331.1)
Source: RNAcentral
GCUGCCGGCACACGCAGCCAUCAGCGGAUGCAGGCGCCGCGCGCGCUCCCCGCGCCUGGGGCUGCCGGCGCUGCGCCCUGCCGACGGUUUGGCGCGGGGUCCGCGGCGCCUCCCGGCCCCAUCCAGCCCGGGCUCCGGGGGCAGGAGCCGGGCGAGAGCAGCGGUGGCAGCAGGGGCCGGGGCCGGGGCUGGGGCCGGGCGCGAUGCCUCCCCUCUGCCGCAGGCUCUGCCGAGGAGCCCGACUUCGCCUGCUUCAAGCAAUGCGGCUCGCGCAGCUUCCUCUGCCGCUGGCCACCCUGGGGCCCCGACGGCAACACCACCUACGUCCUCACGCUCUGGUGAGCCGGGGGCCCGCGUGCCGCUGGGAGCACCGGGAGCGCCUGGGAGCACGGGGACGCGGAGGGCACCACAUCCCGCUGGGAGUGCUGGGGAGUCCAUGGGUAUGGGGAUGUGGAGGGCACCGCGGGAGCCCACGGGGCAAGGGGAUGUGGAGGGCACCACAUCCUGCCGGGAGCACCGUGGGAGCUGCUGGGCAUGGGGACACGGAGGGCAUCACAUCCUGCUGGGAGUGCUGGGAAGCCCAUGGGGCAUGGGGACGCAGAGGGCACCACGUCCCACUGGGAGUGCCAGGGAGCUGGAGGGAAUGGGGACACGGAGGGCACCGUGGGAGCCGCUGGGCACAGGGAUGCAGAGGGGACCACGGGAACCUGCUGGGCAACCCGCCGGGAGCACUGGGGAGCCACUGGGCAAGGGGACACGGAGGGCUCCAUGGGAUCCCAAUGGGCAUGGGGACAUGGCGGGCACCGCAUCCCGCCGGGAGCACGGGGGAGCCGCCGGGCACGGGAACGUGGAGCGCUCCAUGGGAUCCCACCGGGCACGGGGAUGCAGCGGGCACCGCGGGAGCCGCCGGGAGCGGCCCGUCCCUGACGUGCCGGGCUUGCCGCCCCGCGCAGCUACGCGGUGCCGCGGCUGUGCCAGCGGCACGCGGCGGGCGCCCUCCCGGAGCGCACGCUGCAGCACCGCCAGGUCUACGUGCUCACCAACGCCACGGCCUGGGUGGAGGCGCGCUGGGGCCGGCGCCUGCAGCGGAGCCGCAACCUCACGCUCUACCUCGACGAGGCCGUCAAACUGGACCCCCCCUCCGCCGGGAGCAGCUUCGGCAAGGCCGGGGGCCGCCUGCGGCUGCGGCUGCGGCGGCCGCCGUGCCACCGCGGGAAGUGGCCGCUGCAGAGGGAGGCGCGCUACCGCAAGGCGGGCGACCGCGCCUGGACACGGGUAAGGGCGGCGGGGCACCGGGGC